Python bivittatus (Burmese python) is the source of this 2868-nucleotide non-coding RNA. The record is from RefSeq and is a predicted model, not a curated record. Lineage: Eukaryota; Metazoa; Chordata; Lepidosauria; Squamata; Pythonidae.
GAUUCUGUUAAUCUAGCCUUACAAUAAAGUAGAAUUAGUUCAUCUGGUCUUGUUUCCUGUCUGGUUUACCUAGGACGGCUGAUUUCCUGUUACAUAUUACACCAAGUUUUAAUUGUUUUGGCUUUAGCAUGAUGUUUGUAUCUAGCCAUCAUGGCUUGCAAACAAGAAAUUAUGGUUUAGCAUAAUAUGUGAGAAUCAGACUACGAGGCUGGCUCAAUCAACUUUAGUUAAAGAAGCCAUAAUUUAAUGUGCUGUGUGAAUCAAACAUCUAAGCCAUAUGAUUCUUUAAAAGAACUGUGUGGUGUGAAAGCGUAGCAUUUGGUGAAUAGUGACCUGAUUUGUUCACUGAACUAAACUGUAAUCCCAAUUUGGUGCAAACUUUGCCCACAUUGAAUACUCUCUCCAAGCCAAGAGGUCAGAUACUCUGAUGGCAGGGAGGGUUUCCAUCCACAGUCCAACUGAUCCCUUUACGCACUAGAAGGAGCUCAGCAUGCAUGGGAAGCUAGGAGGUGAAGAAUCAUUUCAACGAGAAGGUGGUGACACAUUUGGUAAAUAAAAUAAAAAUAAAAAAUAAAGUGGAAGUCUAACCUCUACAGGUAGCUGUGUUUAUGUUUCUGCCUUUUGUUAUGCCUGAACACUAUGGUUCAUUUCUUGAAAUCUCCCCCCAAAUCCCUGCCAUUUCAUGAGCUUCUGCUUCCCUUUUUCUCCUUGAACUCAGCCUGCUACUUUCUGAGCAUCCCUGCCUUCCAUUCAGCAAGAAACAGUAAUAAUAAGAACUCAAUGCAUUGUUCAGAUCAGUGACAGAGUCCUCUUGCUGGAUUGUUUUUUAGGCCAGCUUUAAAUAUAUUCAAUUUGAUACAUUCCCCAUUCAUUGUCAAUUGUUUCUUAAGCUUUGCCCUUAUACCACUAGUCUCAAAUGUUAUUUAAUGCACUGUAUUGGUUGAUUAUGAAAUAUAGUGUCAUUUUUGGACUUCUGGAUCAUAUAAUUAAAUUAGAAUACGGUCCCAACAAAAUUGGUGCUACGGCUGGUCCCAGUUUGUAUGAAAACCAUGGCUUAAGUCUACCAUAGUUUUCCCAACCUGGGCAACUUCCGGAUCUGUGGACAAGAGUGUCUAGGUGGGGGGAAAGUUGGUGAAUGUAACUCCAGUUCUGCCCCUAUUGUAUGCACACGUGAUGUUGACACACUUACUUAUGUGAUGUGGAGCUCGCAUCAUAACACUGUGUCUGCUCUCUUGUCUACUUUAACACACACACACCCCACUACCACUGCUGCAUGUAGAUAAAAGCCCAGAACUGUCAGCAUCCUCCUCCCCUCCCGCUGCCCCAGACUGCAUUGGAAAAAUACAUUUGAAAGUACAGCUCUAGAAGAUGCAUACAACCAGAAGCAAUAACUUUAAAAAAGAAAGAAAGAAGAAGGAAAUUUCCUUGGGGAAAUUUGCGUAAGGAAAGUUCAAUGUGGGAAGAGCGAUAUCAAGAUAGAGAGAUUCAGGUUGAGAGAUAAAGAUAUAUGAACAUGUGUUAACAGUAAAUUAGGGAAAGGCUGAACAUUGAAUUUGUUUAAUUUAAAUAGAAUUAAAAUGAAAUGAUUAGCAUGAAUAGGCUUAUUCCUCGUCUAUGGCCAUUUUUGGAGAGGGUGUGCCCAAGAUUUCAAAGGGCCCCUAGUUGAACACCCAAGCAGUGAGUUUGACCAACCUCGGAGCCACCUGGAAGUAGCUGCUUCCCUGUGAAUGUUCCCAGCAUCUCUGCCAGUGUGCCCCAAAGCUUUCCAGAUGCCAAAUCAUCUCUGAACAGCAGAAUGAUUUUCAUAAAAAAGAAGAAAAAAACAGAACCCCAAAUUCCUUUCCACAACCAAAUGUCUUCAGAUGCUCUGCAGCAGCACUGGAAAGCUGCAAGAACGUUAAUUCUUCAGGGAAUCUUUCCAAGAAGAACAAACAGUGCUUUUCAGAUGUGAUCAGGGUUUACUGUGUAGCCCUUUUUACAGUUUCUGAUGAUCUGCAAAGCAAAACGAGCAUAUCAAAGUCUUCUGGACAGGCUGCAUGGUGCUACAAUAGAGACAUCCAGUAGGAGCUGGCUGGAAUAGUCUGAAUUGUGUUUUUUUCUUCAUCAUUAAUUUCUUUCCUUACUAAAAAGAGAGCAAGAGUGCAGGGUAAGGCUGAAAAGACAGCAGGAGAGAAGCAAGGGAAGGUGUUGUGGUUCUUUCCCCCCACCCCCACCCUUUUCCGCUUCACUAUUUCUCAGAAGUGUUUGUUCAGUUUUGUAAAACAUUUGAUCUGUCCCAAAGACUUGACCAAAUUUACAGUUUCCCCACCAGCUCGGAUCCCAGCUCCAGAUACUGUCUUGAAUCAUGAAAAUCCUACUCAAUGUCUGCCUCUUUGCAUGUCUUCUAACUAUGGGAAGUUCUUUGCAGUGUGAGUCAUGUGAAGGCUUGGGAGAUACUUGCAAAGGACCUUUGCAAACUUGCUCAGAUAAUAUGGAUAAAUGUGGCAUUUUUCUGGUGGAGAACAUAGUAGAUUUCCAUGAUUUUCUAUACUUCUGUGAAAUCCCAGGAAGCUAUGAAGGAACUCUUUCAGUGCAUCCAGCAAGAGAAAUCUAACUGAAAAGAAAAUCUCCAGGAGUCUCACGGCACAUUGGAGCUAUAGAGGAAGCACAAAAAUAGUUAUUCGAAAGACAUUUUCAAUAUAUUUUAAUUUUUUCUGAAAAUAAGGUAGAAAAAACAGAACAAUACUUUGCAGAAGAAGAACACUCCAGGGAAACCAGGGGAUGGAUUUGAAUUCAGGGUUUGCUUCGUAACUGUUAACACAGCUUUAUAGCAUUGUCACUCAAGUUUUUUAAAAAAUUAUUACGGGUAAUCCUCGCUUAACAACCAUU